CAGUCGCACGCGUCUUGGUUAUUGAUGUUGGAUGCUUGCAUUUAACUGAUUUAACAUUGAGACGAGUGGCGAACUGGUGAGUAACACGUGGGUAACCUGCCCUUGAAGUAGGGGAUAACACUUGGAAACAGGUGCUAAUACCGUAUAACAACCAAAACCACCUGGUUUUGGUUUAAAAGAUGGCUUCGGCUAUCACUUUAGGAUGGACCCGCGGCGUAUUAGCUUGUUGGUAAGGUAACGGCCUACCAAGGCAAUGAUACGUAGCCGACCUGAGAGGGUAAUCGGCCACAUUGGGACUGAGACACGGCCCAAACUCCUACGGGAGGCAGCAGUAGGGAAUCUUCCACAAUGGACGAAAGUCUGAUGGAGCAACGCCGCGUGAGUGAUGAAGGGUUUCGGCUCGUAAAACUCUGUUGUUGGAGAAGAACAGGUGUGAGAGUAACUGUUCACAUCUUGACGGUAUCCAACCAGAAAGCCACGGCUAACUACGUGCCAGCAGCCGCGGUAAUACGUAGGUGGCAAGCGUUGUCCGGAUUUAUUGGGCGUAAAGCGAGCGCAGGCGGUUUCUUAGGUCUGAUGUGAAAGCCUUCGGCUUAACCGGAGAAGUGCAUCGGAAACCAGGAGACUUGAGUGCAGAAGAGGACAGUGGAACUCUAUGUGUAGCGGUGAAAUGCGUAGAUAUAUGGAAGAACACCAGUGGCGAAGGCGGCUGUCUGGUCUGUAACUGACGCUGAGGCUCGAAAGCAUGGGUAGCGAACAGGAUUAGAUACCCUGGUAGUCCAUGCCGUANACGAUGAGUGCUAAGUGUUGGAGGGUUUCCGCCCUUCAGUGCUGCAGCUAACGCAUUAAGCACUCCGCCUGGGGAGUACGACCGCAAGGUUGAAACUCAAAGGAAUUGACGGG
This 903-nucleotide ribosomal RNA is filed under the name uncultured bacterium. Its description in RNAcentral is "bacterial SSU rRNA". It matches the Rfam family "Bacterial small subunit ribosomal RNA", at positions 30 to 917 of the family's 1533-position model. The record is from RNAcentral.